CAGCAGCCGCGGUAAAACGUAGGGUGCAAGCGUUAUCCGGAAUUAUUGGGCGUAAAGAGCUCGUAGGCGGUUUGUCGCGUCUGCUGUGAAAACUGGAGGCUCAACCUCCAACCUGCAGUGGGUACGGGCAGACUAGAGUGCGGUAGGGGAGAUUGGAAUUCCUGGUGUAGCGGUGGAAUGCGCAGAUAUCAGGAGGAACACCGAUGGCGAAGGCAGAUCUCUGGGCCGUAACUGACGCUGAGGCACGAAAGCGUGGGGAGCAAACAGGAUUAGAUACCCCCGUAGUCCCUGUCUCUUAUAC
RNAcentral lists this ribosomal RNA (301 nucleotides) under uncultured bacterium. RNAcentral describes it as "partial 16S ribosomal RNA". It matches the Rfam family "Bacterial small subunit ribosomal RNA", at positions 509 to 807 of the family's 1533-position model. The record is from RNAcentral.